RNAcentral lists this ribosomal RNA (1016 nucleotides) under uncultured soil bacterium. RNAcentral's name for it is "bacterial SSU rRNA". It matches the Rfam family "Bacterial small subunit ribosomal RNA", at positions 9 to 1064 of the family's 1533-position model. The record is from RNAcentral.
GAGUUUGAUCCUGGCUCAGGAUGAACGCUGGCGGUAUGCUUAACACAUGCAAGUCGAACGGAGUGCUUCGGCACUUAGUGGCGGACGGGUGAGUAACGCGUGAGAAUCUGGCUUCGGGUUCGGGACAACAGUGGGAAACUGCUGCUAAUACCGGAUGUGCCGCAAGGUAAAAGAUUAAUUGCCCGAAGAUGAGUUCGCGUCCGAUUAGCUAGUUGGUGUGGUAAGAGCGCACCAAGGCGUCGAUCGGUAGCUGGUCUGAGAGGACGAUCAGCCACACUGGGACUGAGACACGGCCCAGACUCCUACGGGAGGCAGCAGUGGGGAAUUUUCCGCAAUGGGCGAAAGCCUGACGGAGCAAUACCGCGUUUAGUUUAGUUUGGCUCUUGGGUUGUAAACCUCUUUUCUCAGGGAAGAACAAAAUGACGGUACCUGAGGAAUCAGCAUCGGCUAACUCCGUGCCAGCAGCCGCGGUAAUACGGAGGAUGCAAGCGUUAUCCGGAAUGAUUGGGCGUAAAGCGUCCGCAGGUGGCUUAUCAAGUCGAUUGUCAAAGGUCCUGGCUCAACUGGGAACAGGCAGUGGAAACUGAAAAGCUAGAGUGCGGUAGGGGUAGAGGGAAUUCCCGGUGUAGCGGUGAAAUGCGUAGAGAUUGGGAAGAACACCAGUGGCGAAAGCGCUCUGCUAGACCGCAACUGACACUCAUGGACGAAAGCUAGGGGAGCGAAUGGGAUUAGAUACCCCAGUAGUCCUAGCCGUAAACGAUGGAUACUAGGCGUUGAGAGUAUCGACCCUCUCAGUGCCGUAGCUAACGCGUUAAGUAUCCCGCCUGGGGAGUACGCACGCAAGUGUGAAACUCAAAGGAAUUGACGGGGGCCCGCACAAGCGGUGGAGUAUGUGGUUUAAUUCGAUGCAACGCGAAGAACCUUACCAGGGCUUGACAUGUCCGGAACCGCUGGGAAACCAGUGGGUGCCUUCGGGAGCCGGAACACAGGUGGUGCAUGGCUGUCGUCAGCUCGUG